AAAAGCACUCUUUUUUAUUUUUAUUAAUGAUAAUCUCUUAUAUCUUUUUAUACUUCAUAUUACUUGAAAUAAUUAUAGUAAUUAAAGGAAAAUAAAAUAUUAGUUUUUUUUUUCUUCGUUGUCUUUCUAAUUACCACCACAGUUUAUUGCAACUUCAACAUUAUUGUUUUCGAAAUUCGAUUUAUGAUUUCUUGAAGCAUUCAAUUCCUAGACAUUGUUACAUCCUCAUUUUUUUCUUUUAGUUUCUUCUCCCCGACAUCCACCC
Molecule: long non-coding RNA, 265 nt
Filed under: Vigna radiata
Lineage: Eukaryota; Viridiplantae; Streptophyta; Magnoliopsida; Fabales; Fabaceae
Description: long non-coding RNA (VRAD_LNC015914)
Source: RNAcentral